GUGGCUGCCCAUUCUUGGAAACACCUCUCAGAGUAACUCUGGUUCUGCUUCGCUCAUAGGUCUAUUUCUUAGACCUGGGAGAAGGUUCUGCAGGACAGCA
This 100-nucleotide small nucleolar RNA is filed under the name Fukomys damarensis (Damara mole-rat). The record is from RNAcentral. Lineage: Eukaryota; Metazoa; Chordata; Mammalia; Rodentia; Bathyergidae.